UACGAAGGGAGCUAGCGUUGUUCGGAAUCACUGGGCGUAAAGCGCACGUAGGCGGAUUUGCCAGUCAGGGGUGAAAUCCCGGGGCUCAACCUCGGAACUGCCUUUGAUACAGCAAGUCUUAAGUUCGAGAGAGGUGGGUGGAAUUCCUAGUGUAGAGGUGAAAUUCGUAGAUAUUAGGAAGAACACCGGUGGCGAAGGCGGCCCACUGGCUCGACACUGACGCUGAGGUGCGAAAGCGUGGGGAGCAAACAGG
RNAcentral lists this ribosomal RNA (253 nucleotides) under uncultured bacterium. RNAcentral's name for it is "partial 16S ribosomal RNA". It matches the Rfam family "Bacterial small subunit ribosomal RNA", at positions 524 to 776 of the family's 1533-position model. The record is from RNAcentral.